Drosophila sulfurigaster albostrigata is the source of this 416-nucleotide long non-coding RNA. RefSeq lists it as uncharacterized. The transcript has 2 exons. Lineage: Eukaryota; Metazoa; Arthropoda; Insecta; Diptera; Drosophilidae. The record is from RefSeq and is a predicted model, not a curated record.
GAUAUACUACGAGAUUCAAAAUAUAUCAAAGAGUGUAGAUUCACAGUGCUGUUAAACUCUUGCUCUUUUAGUUUCUGAGCUCUAGGUAUCCAUACGUACCGAUAAAUAGACAGAUAAACAGACAUACGGACAUGCAAUUGUAAUCAGAAGCCAUGAAACCAUUACUCACCUGACGCUUGGCCAGUAUCAUUUCCCAGAUGUGAUCAAUGGUGAGCACAGCCAGCAGCACCCAAAGAAGAUGCUGCGGAUCGAUCUUUGGCCAUGUGUCGUAAAAAACCAUUGCUCAGGAUAAGAUCAUGUUUUCCCGAAAAAAACAACAAACAACAAUAAUAAACGAACAACACAUACAAAGUAUACUAUAGUAUAAAUAUUUUAUUUCUUGGGGAAUCCGAAACGAAAUCGAAAUAAAAAAUAAA